GCAGACGCCAUUAUUCACAGAGACAGUCUCGGUAAAAAUGUCAUCUUAAAGUCGGAUUUCGGGUUUGAGGAACCGUUUUUGCACUUCCGUGGUAAAUUAUAUUUUGUUAAAUGUAACGUUAACUUAGUUGCUGUCUUCCUUGUUUGCCAAAUGAAUGUCGGAACCGUCGCAUUUGACAUUUUCAGCACACCGUCACAUCUCACUCGACGUGGAGAGCGCUGUGUGCUUUCAACAGAAGCUGGCAGAGGAAUUGUCAAGAAAAGCAUUACGACUUUUUUUAUUAUUCUUUAAAAGAGAUUAUACGACUAGGUGAAGAUCUGACAUCGCGGAAUUCUUCAAGGAUAACGCAACUUUUCUGCCAAACGAGGUCGUAAUUGCUGCUGUAUUGUGCAUCCCAAGCACCCCCUGCAUUCUUAUCAAGGGUUUGUUUCUUCCUGUGAAGAAAUCCUGAACAAGGGUCGACAGUUCAGAUGAAGGGAACCUACGCUUCCAAGACUAGUGUAUGAACAACUUCGAGAAUCCAUGUACAAUUUGAGCUUUUUUCAAAUCUCAACAUGGAACUUGAACUGAACAUGCAGCAAAAGGAAAAAAGUAGUAGUUUCCCCAAGCUGGCACAUGGCAAGAGAUACUAAAAGCACACAAACACUUGGAGCCCUGCUCUUAAUUUAGAUUGUAUAGUUAUUUUUUCUGCCUGGUGCUGUUUAAAACUAAAACACAUUGUUAAAUUAAUUGAUGUAAUAUUUUUGUCUUCACCUGUUAAAAGCAAAUAAAAGCUACUGA
This is a long non-coding RNA of Onychostoma macrolepis, 780 nucleotides long. RefSeq lists it as uncharacterized. The transcript is spliced from 4 exons. The record is from RefSeq and is a predicted model, not a curated record. Lineage: Eukaryota; Metazoa; Chordata; Actinopteri; Cypriniformes; Cyprinidae.